CAUGGACAUCAUUUAAAUUUGAGGAUUUAUUUCACAAGAAUGGAAAGUUAAUGACUGGACUUUAUUUAAAACAUAAAAAGAGGGACUUGACUUGCAAUUAUUCAAUAAUUAUUCAUUGAAUAUCAUCUAUAUUACCCAUUUUCUCAUAUUUUUUGGGGGGAAAAUGAGAGAAGGCCCGAGAGAACCAGAGAGAGAAGAAAAGAGAAGGGAAGAAGAAGAAGAAGAAAAAGAAAGAAGAAAGAAGAUGGUUUCAAGCUAGGGUUUUCAAGUUCUUCAAUUUCUCUUUGAUUUAGCAUGAUAAGUAUAAAGUAUAUUGAAUUAAAUUUUUUAAGGGAUAUGGACAAUUUGCUUUAAUUCAAAGUUUAGCAAGAAAUAUGUGUUAUUGAUAUGUAUUUGAUGUUAUAAAUAAAGAUAUAGCAAAGAAAUGUUUAUUUGGAUAUUGAUGUUGAAGAAAGUGGAAACUUUGGAAAUAGGUUUGUGAGAUAAAGGCAUAUUCUUUGAAAUUUUUGUGAUUAUAUGAUG
Molecule: long non-coding RNA, 522 nt
Filed under: Olea europaea subsp. europaea
Lineage: Eukaryota; Viridiplantae; Streptophyta; Magnoliopsida; Lamiales; Oleaceae
Source: RNAcentral